Molecule: long non-coding RNA, 3318 nt
Filed under: Oreochromis niloticus (Nile tilapia)
Lineage: Eukaryota; Metazoa; Chordata; Actinopteri; Cichliformes; Cichlidae
Description: lncRNA (ENSONIG00000036829.1)
Source: RNAcentral
GACAUUUGAAGAACCUCCAGAGGAAGCAGUAGAUACCUUUCUCAGCUUAGAAGCAGGACUGAGCUGCCUGUUGUCAGAUGUGCAGUAUGCCUUAUUGAUUAUGAGUGGAUUGUGUAUCGCAGUGUUCAGAUCCACAUCAGGCAAAUAUGGUUUCUUUGAUCCACACUCCAGAACACCCAGUGGUCUUUCUCUAUUACUACAGUCACGUAAUCGUGGUACAGCUGUGAUGCUGAGAUUUACACUCCUCAGUGACAUGAUUAAGAGGCUACAAGAUUCUUAUCAAAUGAUGGAGAUAUCACCUUCUUGUAACUAUGAGCUGAAGCCUGUGCAGUUUUACAGUAUGAGCACAGUCAACCUAAGUGAUACUAUCAGAGACACAGUCUGCAGACCAACAGCUGCCACUGCUGUGGCACCUACUCACUCUGAUACAACUGUUGAUGAAGCAAACCCCUCUACUCCAAGGAGAAACACAACCACUGAUCUGACUGAGAACAUCUUUUGUCAAAUGUCCAUUUGUGCGCCACUGGUGAAACAAAAAGAAGUCCACAUGACUCAGUUCACAUCAUAUGAAGAUCAGAAUGAACCUCCUAAUAUACCAACUGAAGCACUAUGCAGUGAAUUAAAUUUUUUUCCAUCGAAUGAUGCUUUUUCAUGUCAAUCAAAUGCUGCAAUAACAAAUGUUGCUGCCUGUGAUCUUUCUGAUAUAGUUUUACAAAAACUGAAAAAAGUUAAUAAACAACAAAGGCACAAAAUGAAAAGAAGAUUAAUGGCAUCAGAGAAACCCAGAAAUCAGAGAAAAGAAAACCAAAAAAGCAAAGAACGACAAAAGUAUGCUUCAAACAAAGAGUACAAAGAAAAGAAAAAAUCUUGCACAAACGAGGCAUAUAAAAACAAUCCUGAAGUUAGACAGAAAAAACAACAGUACAUGAAAAGACGUUACUGUGAAAAUGAUGAAUUCAGAAAGAAACAAAAACAAUAUGUUAAAAGACGUUUUUCUGAGAAUGCUACAGUAAGAAAGAAACAACAACAAUAUAUUAAAAGACGCUACUGUGACAAUGCUGAAUUUAGACAAAAACAAAAAAGCUAUAUCACUAAAAGGUAUCAAGAGAGCCCAGAAUUCAGAGAGAGACAGAGAUCUCGAGUGACUCAGCGUUAUGCACGUGACAAUGCAUUCAGAGUAAGACACAGACAACUAAUGAAACAACUAAUGCGAGACAGGUAUCAAAGUAAUCUUGCAUUCAGGAUUAUGCACAACAUGAGAUGUGCCAUGAAAAUAAAAAGGAAAUACAGAUGGGUGAACAGACAAACCCAAGAGAGUGACAACAGUGUGAUCAACGAGGCCAUAUCUGUGUUCAAAUCACAAAUCAAAGUUGGACCAUCAUACCCAUGUACUGUGUGUUUCAAGGCUUCAUUUCCAAACCAAGUGCGACCCUGCACAAGGUCAAAUUAUGUCAAAAACCCACAUGUGGUUGCAACAUGUUUGACAGGAAAGUUUGUUCAUGUUUGUGAUGAAAACUGCAGAAAUGAGCAGUGCAAUGUGCCUGAUGAGAGAAAGAGAGAGUGGAUUUGUCACACCUGCCACAAUCAUCUUAAAAAUGGAUCCAUGCCAGCACUUGCUGUUGCCAAUAAACUGGAUCUUGCUGAUAUUCCACCUGAACUGUCUGAUCUCAACAUACUGGAGAGACAUCUCAUAGCCAAGUGCAUACCAUUUGCCAAGAUCAUUCCUCUUCCCAAAGGCAAACAGAGAGCAAUUAGAGGAAAUGUGGUCUGUGUCCCAUCAGAGGUACAGGAAACUGUUGAAGCAUUGCCUCGAUUGAGAAUUAAUUCUCAGGUGAUGAGAGUUAAACUGAAGAGACGCUUGUCUUACAAAGGUCAUCAGCUGUUUCAGACUGUGAGCUGGUCUAAACUUGUGCAAGCACUGCAUAAACUGAAGCAGAUUCAUCCACAGUAUAAGGAUGUGAGCAUCAGAGAUGAUGCUGAGCUGUGUGAUCCAACACUUCCUGAUGAAGAUGAUGAGGAGGAUGAUGAUGAAAACAUGAAUGAGGACGAUUAUGAUGAGGCUGAUUUAAUGGAAAUUGACAGCUGUGAGAAAAAUGCACUGAGUGAAGCACAAAAUAAAAAUGAACAGGAUAUUGACAUGUUAUCCUGUGAUGGUGAACAACCACGUGAACAGAUGAGAGAUGAUUCAGAGCAAGAAGAUGGGCUGACUAAUGGUGGUUUUGCACUCGAGUCCUGUUUGCAGCCCCCUGAUGUGGCUGAGGAGAUAUUAUGUUUCAGUGAAGGAAUCUACUCUGUUGCUCCUGCAGAGCGAAACAAUCCAAUAAGUUUUUUCAAAACACCUAAACUGGAGGCCAUGGCCUUCCCUGUCCAGUUUCCUACAGGCCAAAACACACUUGAUGAAAGAAGGCUGAUCAAAGUAUCCCCCAGUGGGUAUUUCAAAUCAAGGCUUUUCUGCAUUGAUGAUCGUUUUGCCAAAGACACAAACUAUUUGUUCUUUGCACAGUUUGUGACUGAAAUACACUUGGCUACUUCCAGCAUGACAAUACAGUUAAGAAAGGCAAAGCCUCUGACCAGAGAUGGGAGAAAAAUAACCUCAGGUAUGUUACAAGAUAAACAUGAGGUGGAGAAACUGGUGCGAAAUAAAGACGCAGUGAGAUUCAUGCAGCCUCUGAGAGGAACCCCAGCCUAUUGGGAGAAAACAACAAGAGAUCUUUUUGCCAUGAUCAGACAGUUGGGAACUCCCACGUUCUUUUGCACAUUUUCAGCUGCUGAAAUGCGCUGGCCUGAAGUGAUUGAGGCAAUAACAAGGCAGCAAGGUGAACAAGUGAAUUUUGAAGGUCUCGACUGGUCAGCAAAGUGUGACAUCCUGAGAAGCAAUCCUGUAACAACAAUGCGCAUGUUUGACAAGAGAGUUGAAGCAUUAUUUAGAGAUUUACUCUUAUCUCCUGCAGAGCCACUUGGCAAAGUCAUUGACUACUUUUACAGAGUCGAGUUUCAGCACAGAGGAAGCCCACACAUACACUGUCUCCUGUGGGUAGAAGGUGCUCCUGUGUUUGAGGAGGAUGAUGAUCAAACUGUUGUUGAUUUUAUAAACAAAUACAUCACAGCUCAGCUGCCUGAUCCACAUAAACAACCUGAACUGUACAAGAAAGUAACAGAAGUGCAAAAACACAGUAAGAACCACACGAAGACGUGCUUUAGGAGUUUAAGCUCCGGGUGCCGUUUUGGUUUUCCUAAACCACCCUGCAAUGAGACAAUGAUCACAAGACCCAGUGAGGAUGAUGAACUGGAGGUAGAAACAGCAAAGAACAAGCUCAG